RNAcentral lists this ribosomal RNA (450 nucleotides) under uncultured bacterium. RNAcentral describes it as "partial 16S ribosomal RNA". It matches the Rfam family "Bacterial small subunit ribosomal RNA", at positions 354 to 796 of the family's 1533-position model. The record is from RNAcentral.
GUGGGGAAUCUUCCGCAAUGGACGAAAGUCUGACGGAGCAACGCCGCGUGAGUGAAGAAGGUUUUCGGAUCGUAAAGCUCUUUCGUUAGGGACGAACGUGCUCUUUGUGAAUAAUGAGGAGUAAUGACGGUACCUAAAUAAGAAGCCACGGCUAACUACGUGCCAGCAGCCGCGGUAAUACGUAGGUGGCAAGCGUUGUCCGGAAUUAUUGGGCGUAAAGCGCGCGCAGGCGGGAUAUCAAGUCUGUCUUAAAAGUGCGAGGCUCAACCUCGUGAGGGGACAGAAACUGGUAUUCUUGAGUGUCGGAGAGGAAAGUGGAAUUCCAAGGGUAGCGGUGAAAUGCGUAGAGAUUUGGAAGAACACCAGUGGCGAAGGCGACUUUCUGGACGAUGUCUGACGCUGAGGCGCGAAAGCUAGGGGAGCGAACGGGAUUAGAUACCCGAGUAGUCC